RNAcentral lists this ribosomal RNA (103 nucleotides) under uncultured bacterium. Its description in RNAcentral is "partial 16S ribosomal RNA". The record is from RNAcentral.
GCAACGCCGCGUGAAGGAAGAAGGCUUCGGUUGUAACUUCUUUUAAGGGGGUAAGGAGCAGAAGACGGUACCCCUUCGAAUAAGCCACGGCUAACUACGUGCC